GAUGAACGCUGGCUACAGGCUUAACACAUGCAAGUCGUGGGGAAACGGCAUUAUGUGCUUGCACAUUCUGGACGUCGACCGGCGCACGGGUGAGUAUCGCGUAUCCAACCUGCCCCUUACUUGGGGAUACCCCGUUGAAAGACGGCCUAAUACCCGAUGUGUUUCAUUGACGGCAUCCGAUAUGAAACAAAGGUUUUCCGGUAAGGGAUGGGGAUGCGUCUGAUUAGCUUGUUGGCGGGGCAACGGCCCACCAAGGCGACGAUCAGUAGGGGUUCUGAGAGGAAGGUCCCCCACAUUGGAACUGAGACACGGUCCAAACUCCUACGGGAGGCAGCAGUGAGGAAUAUUGGUCAAUGGACGCAAGUCUGAACCAGCCAAGUAGCGUGCAGGAUGACGGCCCUAUGGGUUGUAAACUGCUUUUAUGUGGGAAUAAAGUGGCGCACGUGUGCGCCAUUGCAUGUACCUCAUGAAUAAGGACCGGCUAAUUCCGUGCCAGCAGCCGCGGUAAUACGGAAGGUCCGGGCGUUAUCCGGAUUUAUUGGGUUUAAAGGGAGUGUAGGCGGUCUGUUAAGCGUGUUGUGAAAUUUAGGUGCUCAACAUUUAACUUGCAGCGCGAACUGUCAGACUUGAGUACACGCAGCGCAGGCGGAAUUCAUGGUGUAGCGGUGAAAUGCUUAGAUAUCAUGAGGAACUCCUAUCGCGAAGGCAGCCUGCGGGAGUGUUACUGACGCUUAAGCUCGAAGGUGCGGGUAUCGAACAGG
Molecule: ribosomal RNA, 761 nt
Filed under: Prevotella nigrescens
Lineage: Bacteria; Pseudomonadati; Bacteroidota; Bacteroidia; Bacteroidales; Prevotellaceae
Description: bacterial SSU rRNA
Rfam family: Bacterial small subunit ribosomal RNA
Source: RNAcentral